Saccostrea cuccullata (small rock oyster) is the source of this 385-nucleotide long non-coding RNA. RefSeq lists it as uncharacterized. The record is from RefSeq and is a predicted model, not a curated record. NCBI's taxonomy places the organism in Eukaryota, Metazoa, Mollusca, Bivalvia, Ostreida, Ostreidae. The transcript is spliced from 4 exons.
GCAUGUUUCUGGUUUAUACAAAGCUUCUGAGGAAAAGUUAAGUAGUUAUACAAAGCAGAGGGGUUCUCCGACUUACGAUGGAUGAAUUGCGUGUCAUAAAAGCUUGGGUGCGAGUGUCCACCAGGAAAAAUUCGAUCGACGAAAGGAGAAGUUUUGUCAGUGUCCGAUGGGUACAAACGUCAUAUUGUGGAGCCUGCAUGCAUCACUUUUGCAUCGCAGAAGUACAAGGGAACCAGGCAGUAACAAAGAUGAAAUAUGCUGUUGCUGAAAGAUCCAGUCAAGCACUAAACUGACUAAACUGACUUGAAUGAUCAGACUCCUUAAAAAUGCAAAUCAAAUACAGGUUUUUGUCAGCUUAUCUGGAAAUCUUAGGACAUCACUGAUU